This 301-nucleotide ribosomal RNA is filed under the name uncultured bacterium. RNAcentral's name for it is "partial 16S ribosomal RNA". It matches the Rfam family "Bacterial small subunit ribosomal RNA", at positions 509 to 807 of the family's 1533-position model. The record is from RNAcentral.
CAGUAGCCGCGGGAAUACGUAGGGUGCGAGCGUUAGUCGGAAUUACUGGGCGUAAAGCGUGCGCAGGCGGUUGUGUAAGACAGGUGUGAAAUCCCCGGGCUUAACCUGGGAACUGCGCUUGUGACUGCACAGCUAGAGUAUGGCAGAGGGGGGUGGAAUUCCACGUGUAGCAGUGAAAUGCGUAGAGAUGUGGAGGAACACCGAUGGCGAAGGCAGCCCCCUGGGCCAAUACUGACGCUCAUGCACGAAAGCGUGGGGAGCGAACAGGAUUAGAUACCCGCGUAGUCCCUGUCUCUUAUAC